CUCAGUUAGUGCUGGCGUCUUCAGUGAUACUCUUCGCGUGCUAGUUCACCAAGAUGGCGCACAGCAAGAAGAAAAAGACAGAGAUGAUGUAGCUUUGGUCUUGGAAUGAGUUUAUUGAUGAUCAAGGAUGGUUCAAGGCAAAGUAUUAUUUCAGUUGCUUUUCCAUUUUCUGUUGAAAUGACACCUUUUUUGAGUUGAUGAUGCUCAUUCAAUUCUCUUGAAUGAUGACAUCAUUUUGGAUUCAUAUGCUCAGAAAUCUUCGCGACUCAAUGACAAUUAUUAUAAAUAGCAUCUGUGUAUAAUCUUUAUUGAGAGGAAAUAAACUACAGCCCAAUUCCUUUUUCACAACCUAAGGUACCAGCAGUGGAAGAAGAACAUGGAAAAUGCUGAUCAAUCCCUCAAGAUAUUGCAUAGUGGAGUUCAGAAUUAGGGCAUACGGUGUAUUGUGAAAAAAUAUAGCUUCUAUUGUACCUUAUUGUCAUUAUACAAAGAAAUGUGUACUAUUUUGGAGGGAAGUGCUGAUGGAGUAUUGUAAUGCUGAUUUUAUGAACGACGGUGAGCACAGUAGGGCACUCCAUCAGGAUUUGGCCACCGUUUCCGAAGAUCUUCCACAACACAGACUGGCAUGACCUUUCAAACAUCUUCCACGUAACAUCCCAAUGCUUCCUUCCUGGCUAUGUAAAUAAGAUCGCGCUAUAAACCGUGGCGGUUUAGAAUUGUAUAAAAACAUCUAUUGUCGAUCUCUUGACUAAUGAGCUCGUGCUGCAGCUCGACACAUGGUACCGCUGCAUUUUCCGUGGCUUCCUUGUCUUCGGAAACUGUCAAAGAAAGCAAAAUUAGAAUGAUGCAUGAGAACAUAACCUGUUUUGAACUGGUAAAGCGCUGUAAGGACAUCGUUCGAGAACGUUGCAAAUGGCGGGUAAAAAUAUGUUUCGGCAAACUAAAAAGCCCAAGAUAAGAUUUUGUAGCUAGCAGAAAAGGGCAUACAAUUUAGAUUAAAAAGUUGAUUCGUUGA
Long non-coding RNA from Stylophora pistillata, 1015 nucleotides. RefSeq lists it as uncharacterized. Lineage: Eukaryota; Metazoa; Cnidaria; Anthozoa; Scleractinia; Pocilloporidae. The record is from RefSeq and is a predicted model, not a curated record.